RNAcentral lists this ribosomal RNA (426 nucleotides) under uncultured bacterium. RNAcentral describes it as "bacterial SSU rRNA". It matches the Rfam family "Bacterial small subunit ribosomal RNA", at positions 355 to 774 of the family's 1533-position model. The record is from RNAcentral.
UCGAGAAUUUUUCUCAAUGGGGGAAACCCUGAAGGAGCGACGCCGCGUGGAGGAUGAAGGUCUUCGGGUUGUAAACUCCUGUCAUUUGGGAACAAUGCGUAAAUAUUAACUGUAUUUGCGUUGAUAGUACCAGAAGAGGAAGAGACGGCUAACUCUGUGCCAGCAGCCGCGGUAAUACAGAGGUCUCAAGCGUUGUUCGGAUUCAUUGGGCGUAAAGGGUGCGUAGGCGGCGCGGUAAGUCGGGUGUGAAAUCUCGGGGCUUAACUCCGAAACUGCAUUCGAUACUGCCGUGCUUGAGGACUGGAGAGGAGACUGGAAUUUACGGUGUAGCGGUGAAAUGCGUAGAUAUCGUAAGGAAGACCAGUGGCGAAGGCGGGUCUCUGGACAGUUCCUGACGCUGAGGCACGAAGGCCAGGGGAGCAAACG